ACUCCUACGGGAGGCAGCAGUGGGGAAUCUUAGACAAUGGGCGCAAGCCUGAUCUAGCCAUGCCGCGUGAGUGAUGAAGGUCUUAGGAUCGUAAAGCUCUUUCGCCAGGGAUGAUAAUGACAGUACCUGGUAAAGAAACCCGGCUAACUCCGUGCCAGCAGCCGCGGUAAUACGGAGGGGGUUAGCGUUGUUCGGAAUUACUGGGCGUAAAGCGCGCGUAGGCGGAUUGGAAAGUUGGGGGUGAAAUCCCAGGGCUCAACCCUGGAACUGCCUCCAAAACUCCCAGUCUUGAGUUCGAGAGAGGUGAGUGGAACUCCGAGUGUAGAGGUGAAAUUCGUAGAUAUUCGGAAGAACACCAGUGGCGAAGGCGGCUCACUGGCUCGAUACUGACGCUGAGGUGCGAAAGUGUGGGGAGCAAACAGGAUUAGAUACCCUGGUAGGAUAGCG
RNAcentral lists this ribosomal RNA (447 nucleotides) under uncultured bacterium. RNAcentral describes it as "bacterial SSU rRNA". It matches the Rfam family "Bacterial small subunit ribosomal RNA", at positions 335 to 799 of the family's 1533-position model. The record is from RNAcentral.